This 26-nucleotide non-coding RNA is filed under the name Mus musculus (house mouse). Lineage: Eukaryota; Metazoa; Chordata; Mammalia; Rodentia; Muridae. The record is from RNAcentral.
UAGAACAUUAUGUAUCUGACAGUCCA